UACGGAGGAUGCGAGCGUUAUCCGGAUUUACUGGGUGUAAAGGGAGCGUAGACGGCGAUGCAAGCCAGAUGUGAAAGCCCGGGGCUCAACCCCGGGACUGCAUUUGGAACUGUGUGGCUGGAGUGUCGGAGAGGCAGGCGGAAUUCCUAGUGUAGCGGUGAAAUGCGUAGAUAUUAGGAGGAACACCAGUGGCGAAGGCGGCCUGCUGGACGAUGACUGACGUUGAGGCUCGAAAGCGUGGGGAGCAAACAGG
This 253-nucleotide ribosomal RNA is filed under the name uncultured bacterium. Its description in RNAcentral is "partial 16S ribosomal RNA". It matches the Rfam family "Bacterial small subunit ribosomal RNA", at positions 524 to 776 of the family's 1533-position model. The record is from RNAcentral.